UACGAGUGCCCCGAGCGUUAUCCGGAAUCAUUGGGUUUAAAGGGUCCGUAGGCGGGUUAAUAAGUCAGUGGUGAAAGUCUGCAGCUCAACUGUAGAACUGCCAUUGAUACUGUUAACCUUGAGUAAUUAUGAAGUGGUUAGAAUAUGUAGUGUAGCGGUGAAAUGCAUAGAUAUUACAUAGAAUACCGAUUGCGAAGGCAGAUCACUAAUAAUUUACUGACGCUGAUGGACGAAAGCGUAGGUAGCGAACAGG
RNAcentral lists this unclassified non-coding RNA (253 nucleotides) under uncultured Flavobacteriaceae bacterium. Its description in RNAcentral is "contains 16S-23S intergenic spacer region". It matches the Rfam family "Bacterial small subunit ribosomal RNA", at positions 524 to 776 of the family's 1533-position model. The record is from RNAcentral. Lineage: Bacteria; Pseudomonadati; Bacteroidota; Flavobacteriia; Flavobacteriales; Flavobacteriaceae.